CGUAGGGGCCAAGGCGUUGUUCGGAUUUACUGGGCGUAAAGGGCGCGUAGGCGGCGAAUCAAGUCAGCUGUGAAAUCUCCGAGCUUAACUCGGAACGGUCAGCUGAUACUGUUUUGCUAGAGUGCAGAAAGGGCAACCGGGAAUUCUUGGUGUAGCGGUGAAAUGCGUAGAUAUCAAGAGGAACACCUGAGGCGAAGGCGGGUUGCUAGGCUGACACUGACGCUGAAGCGCGAAAGCUAGGGUAGCAAACGGGAUUAGAUACCCCGGUAGUCCUAGCCCUAAACGAUGUAUGCUUGGUGUCUGGAGUUUUUAUCUCUGGGUGCCGUCGCUAACGCUUUUAGCAUACCGCCUGGGGAGUACGCACGCAAGUGUG
RNAcentral lists this ribosomal RNA (373 nucleotides) under uncultured organism. RNAcentral's name for it is "bacterial SSU rRNA". It matches the Rfam family "Bacterial small subunit ribosomal RNA", at positions 526 to 896 of the family's 1533-position model. The record is from RNAcentral.